Molecule: transfer RNA, 73 nt
Filed under: archaeon
Lineage: Archaea
Description: tRNA-Gln
Rfam family: tRNA
About the family: Transfer RNA (tRNA) molecules are approximately 80 nucleotides in length. Their secondary structure includes four short double-helical elements and three loops (D, anti-codon, and T loops).
Source: RNAcentral
AGCCCCGUAGUGUAGUGGCCAAUCAUCUCACCCUUUGGAGGUGAGGACCCAGGUUCAAAUCCUGGCGGGGCUA